This 216-nucleotide small nuclear RNA is filed under the name Canis lupus familiaris (dog). RNAcentral's name for it is "U4 spliceosomal RNA (multiple genes)". The stretch from base 1 to 78 matches the Rfam family "U4 spliceosomal RNA". The record is from RNAcentral. Lineage: Eukaryota; Metazoa; Chordata; Mammalia; Carnivora; Canidae.
AGCUCUGCGCAGUCGCAGUAUCGUAGCCAAUGAGGUUUAUUUGAGGCACGAUUAUUGCUAAUUGAAAAAUUCCUAAGCAGAAUAUCAAGACUCAUCCAUCUCACUCUCAAUAAUAGAGGCCCCCUAACUACUCAGAACCCAAUACACAGAGCAUAAAAUAUCCUCUUUUGGGCUUUAUGAAAGCCAUUCCUGAAUAAUUGUAUUACGUUUCCACCU